RNAcentral lists this ribosomal RNA (435 nucleotides) under uncultured bacterium. Its description in RNAcentral is "bacterial SSU rRNA". It matches the Rfam family "Bacterial small subunit ribosomal RNA", at positions 957 to 1393 of the family's 1533-position model. The record is from RNAcentral.
UAACGCGAAGAACCUUACCUAGGCUUGACAUGCACGGAAAUCUCGCAGAGAUGCGGGGUCCGUAAGGGCCGCGCACAGGUGGUGCAUGGUUGUCGUCAGCUCGUGUCGUGAGAUGUUGGGUUAAGUCCCGCAACGAGCGCAACCCUCGUUCUAUGUUGCCAGCACGUCAUGGUGGGGACUCAUAGGAGACUGCCGGGGUCAACUCGGAGGAAGGUGGGGAUGACGUCAAAUCAUCAUGCCCCUUAUGUCUAGGGCUGCAAACAUGCUACAAUGGCCGGUACAAAGGGCUGCGAUACCGCGAGGUGGAGCGAAUCCCAAAAAGCCGGUCUCAGUUCGGAUUGGGGUCUGCAACUCGACCCCAUGAAGUUGGAGUCGCUAGUAAUCGCAGAUCAGCAACGCUGCGGUGAAUACGUUCCCGGGUCUUGUACACACCGA